This 2772-nucleotide ribosomal RNA is filed under the name Escherichia coli. RNAcentral describes it as "bacterial LSU rRNA". It matches the Rfam family "Bacterial large subunit ribosomal RNA". Lineage: Bacteria; Pseudomonadati; Pseudomonadota; Gammaproteobacteria; Enterobacterales; Enterobacteriaceae. The record is from RNAcentral.
AGCGUACACGGUGGAUGCCCUGGCAGUCAGAGGCGAUGAAGGACGUGCUAAUCUGCGAUAAGCGUCGGUAAGGUGAUAUGAACCGUUAUAACCGGCGAUUUCCGAAUGGGGAAACCCAGUGUGUUUCGACACACUAUCAUUAACUGAAUCCAUAGGUUAAUGAGGCGAACCGGGGGAACUGAAACAUCUAAGUACCCCGAGGAAAAGAAAUCAACCGAGAUUCCCCCAGUAGCGGCGAGCGAACGGGGAGCAGCCCAGAGCCUGAAUCAGUGUGUGUGUUAGUGGAAGCGUCUGGAAAGGCGCGCGAUACAGGGUGACAGCCCCGUACACAAAAAUACACAUAUUGUGAGCUCGAUGAGUAGGGCGGGACACGUGGUAUCCUGUCUGAAUAUGGGGGGACCAUCCUCCAAGGCUAAAUACUCCUGACUGACCGAUAGUGAACCAGUACCGUGAGGGAAAGGCGAAAAGAACCCCGGCGAGGGGAGUGAAAAAGAACCUGAAACCGUGUACGUACAAGCAGUGGGAGCACGCUUAGGCGUGUGACUGCGUACCUUUUGUAUAAUGGGUCAGCGACUUAUAUUCUGUAGCAAGGUUAACCGAAUAGGGGAGCCGAAGGGAAACCGAGUCUUAACUGGGCGUUAAGUUGCAGGGUAUAGACCCGAAACCCGGUGAUCUAGCCAUGGGCAGGUUGAAGGUUGGGUAACACUAACUGGAGGACCGAACCGACUAAUGUUGAAAAAUUAGCGGAUGACUUGUGGCUGGGGGUGAAAGGCCAAUCAAACCGGGAGAUAGCUGGUUCUCCCCGAAAGCUAUUUAGGUAGCGCCUCGUGAACUCAUCUCCGGGGGUAGAGCACUGUUUCGGCAAGGGGGUCAUCCCGACUUACCAACCCGAUGCAAACUGCGAAUACCGGAGAAUGUUAUCACGGGAGACACACGGCGGGUGCUAACGUCCGUCGUGAAGAGGGAAACAACCCAGACCGCCAGCUAAGGUCCCAAAGUCAUGGUUAAGUGGGAAACGAUGUGGGAAGGCCCAGACAGCCAGGAUGUUGGCUUAGAAGCAGCCAUCAUUUAAAGAAAGCGUAAUAGCUCACUGGUCGAGUCGGCCUGCGCGGAAGAUGUAACGGGGCUAAACCAUGCACCGAAGCUGCGGCAGCGACACUAUGUGUUGUUGGGUAGGGGAGCGUUCUGUAAGCCUGCGAAGGUGUACUGUGAGGUAUGCUGGAGGUAUCAGAAGUGCGAAUGCUGACAUAAGUAACGAUAAAGCGGGUGAAAAGCCCGCUCGCCGGAAGACCAAGGGUUCCUGUCCAACGUUAAUCGGGGCAGGGUGAGUCGACCCCUAAGGCGAGGCCGAAAGGCGUAGUCGAUGGGAAACAGGUUAAUAUUCCUGUACUUGGUGUUACUGCGAAGGGGGGACGGAGAAGGCUAUGUUGGCCGGGCGACGGUUGUCCCGGUUUAAGCGUGUAGGCUGGUUUUCCAGGCAAAUCCGGAAAAUCAAGGCUGAGGCGUGAUGACGAGGCACUACGGUGCUGAAGCAACAAAUGCCCUGCUUCCAGGAAAAGCCUCUAAGCAUCAGGUAACAUCAAAUCGUACCCCAAACCGACACAGGUGGUCAGGUAGAGAAUACCAAGGCGCUUGAGAGAACUCGGGUGAAGGAACUAGGCAAAAUGGUGCCGUAACUUCGGGAGAAGGCACGCUGAUAUGUAGGUGAAGCGACUUGCUCGUGGAGCUGAAAUCAGUCGAAGAUACCAGCUGGCUGCAACUGUUUAUUAAAAACACAGCACUGUGCAAACACGAAAGUGGACGUAUACGGUGUGACGCCUGCCCGGUGCCGGAAGGUUAAUUGAUGGGGUCAGCGCAAGCGAAGCUCUUGAUCGAAGCCCCGGUAAACGGCGGCCGUAACUAUAACGGUCCUAAGGUAGCGAAAUUCCUUGUCGGGUAAGUUCCGACCUGCACGAAUGGCGUAAUGAUGGCCAGGCUGUCUCCACCCGAGACUCAGUGAAAUUGAACUCGCUGUGAAGAUGCAGUGUACCCGCGGCAAGACGGAAAGACCCCGUGAACCUUUACUAUAGCUUGACACUGAACAUUGAGCCUUGAUGUGUAGGAUAGGUGGGAGGCUUAGAAGUGUGGACGCCAGUCUGCAUGGAGCCGACCUUGAAAUACCACCCUUUAAUGUUUGAUGUUCUAACGUUGACCCGUAAUCCGGGUUGCGGACAGUGUCUGGUGGGUAGUUUGACUGGGGCGGUCUCCUCCUAAAGAGUAACGGAGGAGCACGAAGGUUGGCUAAUCCUGGUCGGACAUCAGGAGGUUAGUGCAAUGGCAUAAGCCAGCUUGACUGCGAGCGUGACGGCGCGAGCAGGUGCGAAAGCAGGUCAUAGUGAUCCGGUGGUUCUGAAUGGAAGGGCCAUCGCUCAACGGAUAAAAGGUACUCCGGGGAUAACAGGCUGAUACCGCCCAAGAGUUCAUAUCGACGGCGGUGUUUGGCACCUCGAUGUCGGCUCAUCACAUCCUGGGGCUGAAGUAGGUCCCAAGGGUAUGGCUGUUCGCCAUUUAAAGUGGUACGCGAGCUGGGUUUAGAACGUCGUGAGACAGUUCGGUCCCUAUCUGCCGUGGGCGCUGGAGAACUGAGGGGGGCUGCUCCUAGUACGAGAGGACCGGAGUGGACGCAUCACUGGUGUUCGGGUUGUCAUGCCAAUGGCACUGCCCGGUAGCUAAAUGCGGAAGAGAUAAGUGCUGAAAGCAUCUAAGCACGAAACUUGCCCCGAGAUGAGUUCU